GGGACGUUAGCUCAGUUGGUAGAGCAGCUGACUCUUAAUCAGCGGGUCGUGGGUUCGAACCCCUCACGUCCCA
Enterococcus sulfureus ATCC 49903 is the source of this 73-nucleotide transfer RNA. It matches the Rfam family "tRNA". From Rfam's summary of the family: Transfer RNA (tRNA) molecules are approximately 80 nucleotides in length. Their secondary structure includes four short double-helical elements and three loops (D, anti-codon, and T loops). Lineage: Bacteria; Bacillati; Bacillota; Bacilli; Lactobacillales; Enterococcaceae. The record is from Rfam.